AUUUAAAAAUUUAAUUUGUUAAAUUUUAUAAUUUGAAGAUUAAAACUUGUAAUUUAACAUUUAAAAUUUUUAAAUUUUUAAAUUUAAAUUUUAAAAUUUCAAAAUGUCAAAUUUUAAAUUUAAUCUUUAAGUUGAAAUUUUAAAAUUUGAAAAUUUAAAAUCUAAAAUUUGAGAUUUGAAAUUUAAAAUUAAAAGUUUGAAAUCUAAUUUUCAAAUUUUGAAUUUUGAAAGUUAAAAUUUAAAAUUAAAAUUAAAUUUAAACGUUGAAUUGAAAAUGAAAAUAAAAAUUUAGAAAUUUGAGUCCAAAAUCAGAAUGAGAUGUCUGGAAGCAGCUUUUUCCUACUUCUGAUUCUGGAACUUUCAAAAUUAGUUUUGUGAUUUUGAAUUAGAUUUUAAAAAUGAGGUUGCCAAACGCUUUAUUGGGCAGAAAAUCACUUUUCAAUCCAAAAACCCUUUUUAAAAAUUAGGCCAAACACCUCUAAGUUUAUCGAAUAUUUACCUUAGUACCUUUUAGUUUUAACUUUGUCACUGAUUAUUUUUUCUCUGUUAAUAUUUCAUUAAAUUAUAUAAAAAAAAUUUCAGAUACCUACUUAGAUUUAUCAAAUAUUUACUUUAGUUCUUUUAGUUUUAAUUUUGUUACUGAUUUAACGAAAAAAAAAUAGUAAAAUGGAUAAUAAAAAGAGAAAAAUGAAAUCAUAGAGUACUAACUUGAUACACUUUAAACCACAUGGUACUAAAGUGAGAAAGUGUUAAACCAUAUAUAUAGGGGCUAACUUGAUACACUUUAGACUCUAGGUUAUUAAAAUGAGAAAGUGUGAAACACAGGGUAUUUGAAGUUUGUCCUAUUAAUUUUUCCUACCUCUAUUAUUAUUUUAAAAUUUAAAAAUUUUAAAUUUUAAAUUUUAAAUUUUAAAUUUUAAAUUUUAAAUUUNAAAAUUAAAGUUAUAAUUUUAAAUUCUAAAUUUAAAAUUUAAAAUUUGAUAUUUUAAAUUUUUAAAAUUUAAAAUUUUAUAUUUUAUAUUUUUAAAUUUAAAUUUGAUCUUAAAUUUAAAGUGAAAUUCAAAAUUUGAAAUUAAAAUAUAAUGAUAGGAGUAAUAUCAUUAUUUUUAUUUAUAACUAUUCAUUAUUUUUCUUAUUCUAACUUAUCUAUCUAUGGAAACACUAUUUUUUCUGAAGUUUGGGAGUAACUUAAUUUUUGUUCAAAUGUAAAAUUAAUGUAGUUGUUAUUUAUACCUGAAUUUAUAUAUAUUUCUGUAAUAGACAGAUAUUGUUUAUACUCAAACCACACAGUACCUUAUCUUACGCUGUUAGAUUUUUCUUAAAAAAAA
Molecule: long non-coding RNA, 1328 nt
Filed under: Ananas comosus (pineapple)
Lineage: Eukaryota; Viridiplantae; Streptophyta; Magnoliopsida; Poales; Bromeliaceae
Description: long non-coding RNA (ACOM_LNC037286)
Source: RNAcentral